AGGGUUCGAUCCUGGCUCAGGAUGAACGCUGGCGGCGUGCCUAACACAUGCAAGUCGAGCGAACCCUUCGGGGUGAGCGGCGGACGGGUGAGUAACGCGUGGGUAACCUGCCCUAUACACACGGAUAACGUACCGAAAGGUACGCUAAUACGAGAUGAUAUAUUUUUAUCGCAUGGUAAAAAUAUCAAAGCUUUUGCGGUAUAGGAUGGACCCGCGUCUGAUUAGCUAGCUGGUAAGGUAAUGGCUUACCAAGGCGACGAUCAGUAGCCGACCUGAGAGGGUGAUCGGCCACAUUGGAACUGAGACACGGUCCAA
This 315-nucleotide ribosomal RNA is filed under the name uncultured bacterium. RNAcentral describes it as "bacterial SSU rRNA". It matches the Rfam family "Bacterial small subunit ribosomal RNA", at positions 8 to 334 of the family's 1533-position model. The record is from RNAcentral.